RNAcentral lists this ribosomal RNA (810 nucleotides) under Halamphora adumbratoides. RNAcentral describes it as "partial large subunit ribosomal RNA". It matches the Rfam family "Eukaryotic large subunit ribosomal RNA", at positions 48 to 945 of the family's 3401-position model. The record is from RNAcentral. Lineage: Eukaryota; Bacillariophyta; Bacillariophyceae; Naviculales; Amphipleuraceae.
AAGCGGAGGAAAAGAAACUAACCAGGAUUGCCUCAGUAAGGGCGACUGAAGUGGCAAUAGCUCACCAUGUGAAUCUGCGCCUGGAGCGCCGAAUUGUGGUCUCGCUUGUGCUAUUGGGCUGGGCUAAGUCCGUUGGAACGCGGCAGCUUAGAGGGUGAGACUCCCGUAAGCCUGGUCCUUUGAGCAAGUGUAUACGAGUCGAGUUGUUUGGGAUUGCAGCUCUAAGCGGGUGGUAAAUUCCAUCGAAAGCUAAAUACUGGUGGGAGACCGAUAGCGUACAAGUACCGUGAGGGAAAGAUGCAAAGAAGCGCGAAAGCGCUGUUAAAGAGUACCUGAACUUGCUGAAAUGGAAGCGAAGGAAACCAGUGCUAGCUGCGUCAUACUUCCUUGGUUGCUUGCGGCCGGGGCGCUGUGGCCAGCGUUGUCAGGCUUGGCUGGGUGGUGUGGAAUAGCCUUGGGGAGAGUUGAUCCUCUUGGUUUGCAUGCUGUCUGGCUGAGGUUGACGAAAUGGUUUUCUUUUUCCCGUCUAGAAACACGGACCAAGGAGUCUAACAUAUGUGCGAGUACAUGGGUGCCAAACCCUGAUGCGCAAUGAAAGUAACAGUGGCUGGAAAUUUGCACAGUCCGCCGGCCUCAAUCCUUCGGGAGAACGGUCUGAGUGUGAGCAUACAUGUUGGGACCCGAAAGAUGGUGAACUAUGCCUGAGUAGGGCGAAGCCAGGGGAAACUCUGGUGGAGGCUCGUAGGGAUUCUGACGUGCAAAUCGAUCUUCAAACUUGGGUAUAGGGGCGAAAGACUAAUCGAACCAUAC